Molecule: long non-coding RNA, 291 nt
Organism: Perca fluviatilis (European perch)
Lineage: Eukaryota; Metazoa; Chordata; Actinopteri; Perciformes; Percidae
Exons: 2
Source: RefSeq, a predicted model, not a curated record
CAAACCCAGUAUAUCAACCCCAGUUUGACUCACCAUCUUCGCUUGAUCGUCGCUCUCGUCUCACUGUUGCUGCCUUUCUUGUCACCCUGUCUCCAGUCAGCUGGCUCCUCCAUCCAGUCCCUCCCUCUCGGUCCCUGCACCAGCCUGCCCCAGCCCUCGCCACUCCGUGCUACAGUGCUCUCUGCCCCGGUCUCCAUGUGUCUCUGUUCCCGGCUCCAGCCCCCGUGCUCGUGCUCCCUGGCAUCCACCUUCCCACUUCCCCAUCUUUUCCAAUAAAAUAUCUUGUGUUGA